UACGAAUGGAGCGAGCGUUGUUCGGAAUUACUGGGCGUAAAGCGCACGUAGGCGGACUCUUAAGUCAGGGGUGAAAUCCCGGGGCUCAACCUCGGAACUGCCUUUGAUACUGUGAGUCUCGAGACCGGAAGAGGUGAGUGGAAUUCCUAGUGUAGAGGUGAAAUUCGUAGAUAUUAGGAAGAACACCAGCGGCGAAGGCGGCUCACUGGUCCGGUUCUGACGCUGAGGUGCGAAAGCGUGGGGAGCAAACAGG
Molecule: ribosomal RNA, 253 nt
Filed under: uncultured bacterium
Lineage: Bacteria
Description: partial 16S ribosomal RNA
Rfam family: Bacterial small subunit ribosomal RNA
Source: RNAcentral